GACGAACGCUGGCGGCGUGCUUAACACAUGCAAGUCGAACGGAAAGGCCCUGCUUUUGUGGGGUGCUCGAGUGGCGAACGGGUGAGUAACACGUGAGUAACCUGCCCUUGACUUUGGGAUAACUUCAGGAAACUGGGGCGAAUACCGGAUAGGAGCUCCUGCUGCAUGGUGGGGGUUGGAAAGUUUAGGCGGUUGGGGAUGAACUCGAGGCUUAUCAGCUUGUUGGUGGGGUAAUGGCUUACUAAGGCUUUGACGAAUAGCCGGCCUGAGAGGAUGACCGGCCACAUUACGACUGAGAUACGGCGCAGACGCCUUCGGGAGGGAGCAGUGUAGAAUAUUGGACGAUGAAGCGAAGCCUGAUGCAGCAACGACGCGUGCGGGAUGACGGCCGUCGGGUUGUAAACCGCUUUCGCCUGUGACGAACAGUGAGUGACGGUAAUGGGUAAAGAAGCCCCGGCUACCUACGUG
RNAcentral lists this ribosomal RNA (468 nucleotides) under uncultured bacterium. RNAcentral's name for it is "partial 16S ribosomal RNA". It matches the Rfam family "Bacterial small subunit ribosomal RNA", at positions 28 to 507 of the family's 1533-position model. The record is from RNAcentral.